This 253-nucleotide ribosomal RNA is filed under the name uncultured bacterium. RNAcentral describes it as "partial 16S ribosomal RNA". It matches the Rfam family "Bacterial small subunit ribosomal RNA", at positions 524 to 776 of the family's 1533-position model. The record is from RNAcentral.
UACGUAGGGUGCAAGCGUUAUCCGGAAUUAUUGGGCGUAAAGAGCUCGUAGGCGGUUUGUCGCGUCUGCUGUGAAAACCCGAGGCUCAACCUCGGGCCUGCAGUGGGUACGGGCAGACUAGAGUGCGGUAGGGGAGAGUGGAAUUCCUGGUGUAGCGGUGGAAUGCGCAGAUAUCAGGAGGAACACCAAUUGCGAAGGCAGCUCGCUGGGACGUUACUGACGCUGAGACGCGAAAGCGUGGGGAGCAAACAGG